CUACCCGGGUAUCUAAUCCUGUUUGCUCCCCACACUUUCGCACCUCAGCGUCAGUAUCGAGCCAGUGAGCCGCCUUCGCCACUGGUGUUCCUCCGAAUAUCUACGAAUUUCACCUCUACACUCGGAAUUCCACUCACCUCUCUCGAACUCAAGACUGGGAGUUUUGAAGGCAGUUCCGAGGUUGAGCCCCGGGAUUUCACCCCCAACUUUCCAGUCCGCCUACGCGCGCUUUACGCCCAGUAAUUCCGAACAACGCUAACCCCCUCCGUAUUACCGCGGCUGCUGGCAC
RNAcentral lists this ribosomal RNA (289 nucleotides) under uncultured Paracoccaceae bacterium. RNAcentral's name for it is "uncultured Rhodobacteraceae bacterium partial 16S ribosomal RNA". The record is from RNAcentral. Lineage: Bacteria; Pseudomonadati; Pseudomonadota; Alphaproteobacteria; Rhodobacterales; Paracoccaceae.